RNAcentral lists this ribosomal RNA (432 nucleotides) under uncultured bacterium. Its description in RNAcentral is "partial 16S ribosomal RNA". It matches the Rfam family "Bacterial small subunit ribosomal RNA", at positions 29 to 507 of the family's 1533-position model. The record is from RNAcentral.
AACGAACGCUGGCGGCAUGCCUAACACAUGCAAGUCGAACGAGACCUUCGGGUCUAGUGGCGCACGGGUGCGUAACGCGUGGGAACCUGCCUUUAGGUUCGGAAUAACUCAGAGAAAUUUGAGCUAAUACCGGAUGAUGUCUUCGGACCAAAGAUUUAUCGCCUUUAGAUGGGCCCGCGUUGGAUUAGCUAGUUGGUGGGGUAAAGGCCUACCAAGGCGACGAUCCAUAGCUGGUCUGAGAGGAUGAUCAGCCACACUGGGCUGAGACACGGCCCAGACUCCUACGGGAGGCAGCAGUGGGGAAUAUUGGACAAUGGGCGAAAGCCUGAUCCAGCAAUGCCGCGUGAGUGAUGAAGGCCUUAGGGUUGUAAAGCUCUUUUACCCGAGAUGAUAAUGACAGUAUCGGGAGAAUAAGCUCCGGCUAACUCCGUG